This 38-nucleotide transfer RNA is filed under the name Callicladium imponens. RNAcentral describes it as "partial tRNA-Phe". The record is from RNAcentral. Lineage: Eukaryota; Viridiplantae; Streptophyta; Bryopsida; Hypnales; Callicladiaceae. RNAcentral also lists the same sequence under 22 other names.
GCCGGAAUAGCUCAGUUGGUAGAGCAGAGGACUGAAAA